Molecule: microRNA precursor, 86 nt
Filed under: Chlorocebus sabaeus (green monkey)
Lineage: Eukaryota; Metazoa; Chordata; Mammalia; Primates; Cercopithecidae
Description: miRNA (ENSCSAG00000023530.1)
Source: RNAcentral
AAUGGUCCCCGAGGGAGAUCUGCAUUCUAAUCCCCAGAAGCGAAGGAUUAGGAGGACAAGGAUGCAGACCUCCCUGGGGGACCAUU